CCUACGGGUGGCAGCAGUGGGGAAUAUUGCACAAUGGGCGCAAGCCUGAUGCAGCCAUGCCGCGUGUGUGAAGAAGGCCUUCGGGUUGUAAAGCACUUUCAGCGGGGAGGAAGGCGGUGAGGUUAAUAACCUCAUCGAUUGACGUUACCCGCAGAAGAAGCACCGGCUAACUCCGUGCCAGCAGCCGCGGUAAUACGGAGGGUGCAAGCGUUAAUCGGAAUUACUGGGCGUAAAGCGCACGCAGGCGGUCUGUCAAGUCGGAUGUGAAAUCCCCGGGCUCAACCUGGGAACUGCAUUCGAAACUGGCAGGCUAGAGUCUUGUAGAGGGGGGUAGAAUUCCAGGUGUAGCGGUGAAAUGCGUAGAGAUCUGGAGGAAUACCGGUGGCGAAGGCGGCCCCCCGGACAAAGACUGACGCUCAGGUGCGAAAGCGUGGGGAGCAAACAGGAUUAGAUACCCCAGUAGUC
RNAcentral lists this ribosomal RNA (465 nucleotides) under uncultured Klebsiella sp. RNAcentral's name for it is "bacterial SSU rRNA". It matches the Rfam family "Bacterial small subunit ribosomal RNA", at positions 338 to 795 of the family's 1533-position model. The record is from RNAcentral. Lineage: Bacteria; Pseudomonadati; Pseudomonadota; Gammaproteobacteria; Enterobacterales; Enterobacteriaceae.